This 247-nucleotide ribosomal RNA is filed under the name uncultured Eubacteriales bacterium. Its description in RNAcentral is "uncultured Clostridiales bacterium partial 16S ribosomal RNA". It matches the Rfam family "Bacterial small subunit ribosomal RNA", at positions 796 to 1041 of the family's 1533-position model. Lineage: Bacteria; Bacillati; Bacillota; Clostridia; Eubacteriales. The record is from RNAcentral.
CACGCCGUAAACGAUGAAUACUAGGUGUAGGGGGUAUCGACCCCCCCUGUGCCGCAGUUAACACAAUAAGUAUUCCACCUGGGGAGUACGGCCGCAAGGUUGAAACUCAAAGGAAUUGACGGGGGCCCGCACAAGCAGUGGAGUAUGUGGUUUAAUUCGACGCAACGCGAAGAACCUUACCAGGGCUUGACAUCCCCUGACGAAGGCAGAGAUGCCUUCUUCCCUUCGGGGACAGGGAGACAGGUGG